This 4871-nucleotide long non-coding RNA is filed under the name Olea europaea (common olive). Its description in RNAcentral is "long non-coding RNA (OEUR_LNC000753)". The record is from RNAcentral. Lineage: Eukaryota; Viridiplantae; Streptophyta; Magnoliopsida; Lamiales; Oleaceae.
UCAUCACCGUUCUCGUUUAGUGUUUGAUCUGGUAUGAAGACUCACCUGAGCAUAUUCAUGUACUUAUUGUGUUUCAAGACAUUAUUUACUGUGUUAAGAGUUUGAUAAGAACCUGAAUUGAUGGAACAAACUCGUUUACCUAAGAAGAGUAAACUCAAUGGAAAUGAGUGAAUUUUAUUGAAUUGAACGUAAACUGUGACUCCAACAAACCAGAGCAUUCGAGAGGCUCUGUACUCUCCUACCAGACUCCUGAUUUUUCUCUGCUGUUACCUGCCCCUCCCCUUUACAUUUAUUGACAAUUUCCCUGACUGACUCACUACUCUCCCCCCUAACAAAAUAACAGAAUAACAACUGCAUGCUUAAUUAAUUCGAGAGGCCCUUACUCCUUUUUGUGUAUUUAAAAAUCACUGGGGGUCUAUUAAUACCCCCCCUUCAAAAUCCACCUUGUCCUUAAGGUGGAAGUUUGGAAAUUGCUGGCGGAUGUUUUCAACUGACUCCCAGGUGGCUUCGUAGUCUGAAGAGUUCUUCCACUUGAUCAGAACUUCAGGACCCAAGGCUGAACUUGCUGAAUUAGAACAGAAUUGUAACACUCUCUCCAGUUCCACUCUGCUCGAGGUCUCCACAGCAAGGUGUUCUGGUAAUUCUGAAACAGUUUGAGUAUUCCCGACAGCCUUCCUGAGCUGCGACACAUGAAAAACCGGGUGGAUAGCUGACUCCGGUGGAAGUUUCAAUUUGUAAGCAACCUGCCCCACUUUGGCCUGAACUUCAAAAGGCCCAUAAUAUUUGGGAGAAAGUUUUGCUGAUGAUCUCUGAGCCACAGACUUCUGACGGUAAGGAUGCAAUUUCAAAUAUACCAAGUCCCCAACUUUCAACUAGAGAUCACGGCGAUGCCCAUCGCUUCUUGCUUCAUUCGUUGUUGGGCGCGCAAAAGUUGCAUCUUGAGGUGCUGGAGGACUUCAUCCCUGCUGACCAAGGAUUGUUCUAUUGAGGAAACUACAGUCAUUCCCUUCUGAAAAGGCAUAACCGGCGGAGGAUCAAAACCUUACACAAUCUGAAGGGGAGUCUGCUUCAAGGCGGUGUGAAAAGAAGUAUUAUACCAAAAUUCUGCCCACGGUAACCACUGCCCCCAUGAUCGUGGCUUACUUGAAGUAAAACAACGCAAGUAUGUCUCCAAACACCGAUUGACGACCUCCGUUUGGUCGUCGAUUUGUGGAUGGUAGGCUGUACUCCUUUUAAGGACUGUCCCCUGAGCCCGAAAAAGCUCCUUCCAGAACUUACUCGUAAAAACUCGAUCCCUGUCUGACACAAUAGACUGUGGAAUUCCAUGCAACUUAACAACUUCUCGUAUGAAGACUUUAGCCACUACUCGAGCUAUCCGUUUGUAAGUUUUGAGAAAUCCCGAAUGACCACCGAUUCUCGAGUCGUGAUAUUCCUGUAGGACCUUCUCAAUGAAUGGGGAUGAUUUCGGUAACACUAAUCUGCUUUGUAACACAAAGUCCCAUCCACCACCGAAUAGCAGUUUGGUCCCCUCCACUUGAUUGUAUGUGGGCAAUGAUUUUGCUUAACUCUUUGUCCCUUGCUAUUGCUGUUUUUACCUCAUCCACUUCUAACACCCGGGGCCUUGAUAUUUCCAGAAAACUCACUAUGGGUCCCAUUCUUGAGAGGGCAUCUGCAGCUCUGUUUUUCAUACCGGGCCGAUAUUGAAUUUCAAAGUCAAAGCCAAGGAGUUUAGUCAACCAUUUCUGAUGUUCUUUACAAACUAAGCGCUGCUCCAGAAGAAAUUUCAAACUUCGCUGAUCAGUCCUUACUAUAAAAUGUCUGCCCAGUAAAUAGUGCCGCCACUUCUGAGAGGAAAACACUAUGGCCAUCAAUUCCCGCUCAUAAACUGAUUUGUGUCUAGCACUCAACGGAAGCACCUGGCUGAAGUAGGCAAUGGGAUGCUGUCCUUGCAUUAAAACAGCCCCCAACCCGUGGCCCGAUGCAUCGGUUUCCACCACAAAUGCUUGGGAGAAGUCGGGUAAGGCAAGAACGGGCAUUUCAGUCAUUGCUGUCUUCAGUUUGCAGAAGGCAUCCUCUGCCACCUCACUCCAGUUAAACCCGUCCUUUUUCAACAAUUCGGUAAGUGGCCAAGCAAUCACCGCAUAUCCUUUUACAAAACGUCGAUAGUAGUCGGUAAGCCCCAAAAAUCAACUUAGCUCCCGAAGGUUCCGAGGCGAUGGCCAGCUGCACAUUGCCUUUAUCUUAGACUUAUCCGCUGAUACUCCUUGUCCCGAUAUUAUAUGGCCCAAGUAUUCCAAUUGAGGCUGUCCAAAAGUGCACUUCUUCUCAUUUACGUAUAGCUUGUGUUGCUGUAAGCAUUCCAAAACAAUGUCCAGAUGUUCCUGAUGCUCCCUCAACGAAGCACUGUACACUAAGAUGUCAUCAAAAAAGACCAGAACAAACUUUCUGAGAUAGGGUCGAAAGACCUCAUUCAUCAAACUUUGGAAUGUUGCCGACGCAUUUGUCAGCCCAAACGGCAUGACAAGGAAUUCGUAGUGGCCUUCAUGAGUACGGAAAGCCGUCUUUGGCACAUCAUCCGGUUUCAUUCUUAUCUGAUGGUACCCCGAUUUAAGAUCCAGCUUUGAAAAGAUGGCUGCCCCAUGAAGUUCGUCCACCAAUUCAUCGAUCACUGGUAUAGGAAAUCUAUCAGGGACGGUGACCUUGUUCAACGCUCGGUAGUCUACACAAAAACGCCAGCUCCCAUCUUUCUUUUUUACCAACAAAAUUGGGCUAGAGAAUGGGCAGCAACUGAGUUGGAUUAUCCCAGCCUCCAGCAUGUUUCGCACCAAUUUCUCAAUUUCAUUCUUCUGGAAACUCGGAUAACGAUAUAGCCUAACGUUAACCGGGACUGCCCCCACCUGGAGCACAAUCCCAUGGUCAUGGGAUCGUGAUGGGGGAAGCUCAUUAGGCCACUCGAAGACUUGGUGAUGCCGCCGCAAUACUUCAGUAAGCUCGUCAGGGCCCUUGCUCACUUUCUCUUCGUUUCCCAAACUCAUACUUCCCAGCUCCAACAAUACCCCUUGGUCACCCUCUUUGAAGUUUCUGAAUAUCGACUUAAUAGAGACCUGGGUCUUCUGCAGGUUAGUUUCUCCCUGCAGUAACACCUCACGCCCAUCGACCUUAAAUUUCAUCGUCAACCUCCCCCAAUCCACCUGCAUUUGUCUCAAUGUUCCCAACAUCAGACUUUCAAGUUUUUUGUUUGUCUUAGUAGGACAAACUUAGCAACCUAGUUCCAACUAGACUGAAUGCAUAGAGUUGCAGAAGAGGUUUCAAUGACAAAUUCUGGACAAUUCUAAAUUUGCAAUUCAGAUUAUUAUAUUUUUUAGACAAAGAUGAAAAUUUUUUGAGUAGUAAUAUCAUUCCAAGGUAUUUUGUUUUUCAUUUUUUUAAUCUCUAGUUAUAUUUUAUUUAUAACUUUUCAAGAUUGCAAAUUGAUGGAUACACUGUUUUAUUAUUGCUUCUGAUUAUGUCUUUCUAUAGGUGGUUUGGAAUACAGCUGAAUCCUCAAUUCAUUGGCAUGGACCUCAAGUAUGUAUCCAUUUUGUAAAAACUGGAGUUUCUUCUGUUUUGAGAGUUUGAGUCUCCUUCUUCAUAUGCAUGGGCAAUCAUAGUGUGUUCACUUUGCUUGUCUAAUUUGCAACUUAAUAUUUGAAAACCUCAUUAGAUAUCAGAUAAUGACUGCAUUUAACUUAGGUGGAAACACUCCCCAUUCCUUUGGAGGAAACAACUUGUUAUGGACCAUUCCAUUUUCCAUUUUAUUCAAAAAUAUAUUUCACCACUGCUGUCAGAUCCCCACCUGGCCUAUUUACGUUAGUUAUUGGAAUCAGUAAUAUAAUGUCUCUAGCAUUUUGUCACCAUGGAUUCAAUUGUCUUGUAGAUUCUUCUUUGUUAGAGCUGGAAUGAUGGGAUGGCUUCUUAUAAAUCUUUCCGUUCUUGCAAAAUGUAUUCAAGAGGGCAUCUUAAGCAGAUCGAUGAUUUUUUACCAGCUUUUCUGUUUUGUAAGUGGUGAUGUUUUAAUUUUCCUGUUUUGAGUACAUUCGUGUACUUGUUAAAUUGCCUAAUACUUGUAUCUACUGGCAGCUCUAUAUUUUGGACUACUUUUUCCAUGAAGAGUACAUGACCUCCACGUAAGUGUAUUUUUUCUUUUCUUUAAACUAUGUUGUCAGCUAAUCUGGUUUAUUCAGUUUAUGUAAUUGUUGCAUCAUAUUACUAAGCUGUUCUUCAUUGGUUGAUACCAUGUGGUCAUAUUGAUUUAUAGCCAAUCCUUUUAUGUGUGAAGAACUUUCUUGUAGAACAUUUACCCAGGAAGUGGUUACUUACGGUGACCUCCUCCAUCUUCCUUUUAGAUGAACUCCUUUACUAGAAACAACACUAUUUUCCAUUUAUAGAUUUUGCAUCUAACUGUAAGGCUGGCAUAUAUUGUGAAUGGAACUAUCUACAAAGAUGUUAACUAUCCAUGCUGUUUGAACUAUGAUGCAUUGCAACUUUAUUUAUUUAUUUUGAUAAACAUUGCUUUUGUUAACUGUGUGUCCAUAUUUUCCGUUCAGCAAUGCUAAAAUGAAUCAUCACCGUUCUCGUUUAGUGUUUGAUCUGGUAUGAAGACUCACCUGAGCAUAUUCAUGUACUUAUUGUGUUUCAAGACAUUAUUUACUGUGUUAAGAGUUUGAUAAGAACCUGAAUUGAUGGAACAAACUCGUUUACCUAAGAAGAGUAAACUCAAUGGAAAUGAGUGAAUUUUAUUGAAUUGAACGUAAACUGUGACUCCAACAAACCAGAGCAUUCGAGAGGCUCUGUACUCUCCUACCAGACUCCUGAUUUUUCUCUGCUGUUAC